ACACGGCGGCCGGCGUGCUCAUUCCGUAGCAGACAGCUGCCCAUAUCGGACGCGCGUGUAUUCGAACGUCGUUGUUGAAAAAGCAGCUCGCCGAGCUACCGUGAAACCGACACGGACGUGUAUGCAGUUUUCCAGUCGACACUAGAGACCAACAACCCGUACCGAGCAACCGCACAACACGCGGAUCAUCAAUUAAUCAGCGGAAACACUGACCACGGGACGCGUGAAACGAAAGAAAAAGCCGAGAACACAGAAAAACACGAUCGAUACGAAUAUACGUUUUAACGAGAGGAUAAUCGGCGACCGUUAAAGGCAUCGCGAAAUAUUAUUUUCGCGGAAGAGACGGAGAAAGAGAGAAAUUUGCGCGCGCUGGUUCCGCUGGAUCCGUUGUGUAGGACCUGCGGCGACAAAAGGACCCAGAGGCCAGUGAAGUCGAACGCGGUGUGCGAAACCCGCUCGGGGAAAACUGUAUUCUCCUGGUUUGAACUUUCCAGAGAAACGGAGGGAGAAAGACGGCGACUAGAGGCGCGGAGCGUGAGAAAGGGAACGGGGCCUGCGAGAGGGACAAAGAGGAAUAGAGUGCGCGCUGACGAGUGCCGGCUGAUCGAGAUGGCGUUUAUGAUGCCCGUAGUGAAAAACGAGUGGGACAUUUACAAGACUAACCGCAACCGACGAUCCUCGGAGUGCUCUAAUCCCCAGGCUUGUCGCAGCAGGAAGGUGUCGGAAUGUUCAAAGUCGGAGGGCCCGUCGCUGUCGACAUCCCCGGGCUCGGACUUCUUGACGUCCCCGGCGCAUCGUUCGGUGCCGCUCACCUCCCGGCACUUCUCGAGGACGUCCUCGAGGGCGUCGCAGUCCUCGUUGCAGAGCCCGAGCAAGAGUACCGGCUCGUCUCCGCCGAAGACCGGCAGCUCGAACUCCCUGAACAAGUUCCACAAUCGGCUGGUGGACAAGCUGAAGAGGUCGUUGAGGAAGGCUGAGGAGUGCGGGGAGGACCAGCGAAACUUGUCGUGAAACAGUCAGGGGGUUUUGGGCCGGCCACCAAUUUCCGGCUCGAAACCGAUCGAGAUCCGACGUACCUCCGCACCCGUUACCACGACUGAGGGGAGGAACGAGGCGGUGGCACGAUCGUGCCCGGAUCCGCCGGCGUCGGCAUGGUAAACAAAACCCUGGCUAACCGGAAGAGGACAAACACGAGGACGAAGAAGAAGAUUAAGAAGAAGCAGAAGAAGCAGAAGAAGCAGAAGAAGAAGUAGAAGCAAAGAAAGCGGGAGAUGAUCGCGAAGAAGAUGAUCGUGAAGAGAGGGUGAUCGUGAAGAAGGUGUUGGAGGAAGAGUCCGCGCGUGUCGUUCGCCGGUGAAGAUCAGGUUGAUUCCAGAGAAUGGUUGACCCGAGGAACCGUGAACAUGGCAAAGACGACGACGACGACGACGAUGACGACGAUGACGAAGAAUAAAACGUAACACUACAGAAGAAUUGUCGAAGUCGAGGAACAGAAGAUCGACGAAGAAGGAUGAUAGAGAUGAUCGCUGUGAAAGAUCGACGAAGACGAAGAACAGAACUCACCGUGGGUUAUUUAGAAGGUGAAGAAACAGCUUCGAGUUCUCCGGUCUCCUCUGUCCGCGCGAGGGAGAGGAGGCCUCGCUCGAGUACGCGAUGUCCAAGGAGGGAGGACCGUGUGGCGAGCGGCAGCUGUGGGCUUCUCGAGCUGUCGAAUAUACGUAACCAGUAGGUUGCCGUGUGCUCUCUUCUCUAGGUUUCUCCUCACACAGUGACGUCGCGAGAUAGAAUGAAAGUAUUGUGUUCCUUUCGCUCGAUCAACCCCCUUUUUUGGCACGUUGCUCACGGAGACGCAGGACGAACGCAAAAAACGACCAGUACAGGCUAGCCGAGGACGGAUAAAUCCAUAAUGGGGAUAAAGCGAAAAUCGGGUUCCCGUGUUUAGUUUCCAAACGAGAGAGUCGAUGCACGCUCGCGGCUCCCCUUCCUAAAAAACAAACCCGCCUGAUCUAUCUAAAUCUCGCGAGACUCUACCCAAGCUGAUUCCUUUGGAUAACUGUGAGAAUCUGUUUAGGACGUUGGGGAAGAGGAAUGAUUAGGAGAGAGCGCGGCGGAGGUGUCGCGAUGCUUCUCUGUGAAGAGGGGAAGAAGGAGGAGGAGGAGGAGGAGGUGGAGGAAGAAGAAGAUGAUGAUGAAGGAGACGUAAUCCUCGAGCCGACUCGCUGCAGCUUCUUUGCGUGCAGUUUGUAGUAGGAUCGGGGAUCACGGUGGGAACGUGAUGAAAUCAACGAAGAAGAAGAAGACGAAGAAAAGCCACGAGAAGAAUCCAGCGAAAGAGAUCGGAUCCACGGUAUCGUUUUGACGCGAACCGGAAGCGUUCACGGAAGACGAGCUAGACGAAGAGCCUGUCGUCGAAGAGAAUAUUUUCUUAAGACGCACCUGGCAACGCACCGAGGUGCAUCGUGGCGCUUUCCCCUCUGUCCCGCGCCCGAGGUAUUCGAUACUGCUACUUCGAUUAAUCGUUACGAAGCAUUUGUUGAUUUCUUGUUUAGUCUGACCGCAUCGAAACUAGCGAACGCGCUUGUUGUUCGUGGUUCGCGUAAUUUGAACGAUCCAGGAAACACGACGGAGGAAGGUGUUCUCGAAAUUCGGACGCAGAACGACGUCACUCGUGAAAAAAGGGAUCGCAACGUUCCGGACCCGCGAAACUGGAAAAUUCGAAACCAAAGAUUGUCUGGUUGCGUUUCUACUUUUUUUUUUUCUUGUUUAUUCGUUACUUUAUUCGGUUCGUUGAUCCUCCAUUUCGGUCGAGCGCCUUUCAAUCGGACAGUAUUAAAGUCGGCAUCUCGCGUUGGACAGCGAUCCCGGAGACAAAACGACAUCAUUUCUGCGUCCACGUUUGCUAAUCUCUUAGUUCCUCUUUUGCUCGCGUGCGCGUUCUUCUUAUCGUUUAUGAAAUUCAUGAAGUGGGAGCAAUUAAGCGAUACCGCGUGUAACUCUGUGAUACCAUAAGCUAUAAGGUAGAAUUAUUUUGCAACGAUCAAAGAAAACAAAACUGCAAAAACAAAAAAAAAAAUGAAGAAAAGAAGAAUAAGACGAAGUACAUAUAUAGUUGUGGGAAUAAGUCAUGAGACCGAGUAGGAACGUUAUUUUGUCGCGACGAAGAUAAUCGCACGGACGCGAAAUCGAUUCUUCGUCGAUCGGCGCGCGGAUCUUUUCUUUUUUUUCAGGGGCGGCGGCGGCGGGAAGUUCUUUCCUCGUUCUGGACCGGGAGGAACGAGCAGAGAACCGAGGCGAUGAUCGAACGAUUUUUUUCUCGGCUUCUGGUCGAGUAUCGAUGCUGGUCCGUCGUUCGGGAAUGGCGUGAGUGAAUCACACAUUGUAUUAUACAAUACCUCUACGGCCGCAUUCGAGAAAAUCGGUGCGAGAUUCAACGACGCGCGAGCUUUCGUAGCCGACCCAACGUUUUGCCCCGUUAGCUAGAGAGAACGAUAGCCCCGUCUCUCGCGAGAAUAACGAAAAUUUCAACGAUUCGAUAGACUCCGAAACAAAUUUUAGCGUAAAAGGGAUAACACGAAACCGGAUCGAUCACCGAUCGAGAAGAGGAAAGAACUCACGAGAGAGAAGAGCGAUGGGCUAUAAUGACGCGAACAAGUUUGCCGUUACACGUAAGACUGCUUUAGAGACACUGAAGAAUACAUUUAAAAGUAAAAAAAUACGAGAAGGAAAACGCAGAAAAAAAAAGAUGUAGUAUUACCGAUUACACUGUGGUGCUGGACGACCGUCGGGGAUCGAAGGGUUCCAAGGGGGCAGGGACGUCGUCGAACGUCCGAAACCCCCUUCGAACCACAUCCCCGCGUUCCGUCGGACGAUUUGUACUGAUGAAAGAGAGAGAUUAAAAAUGGCGUUACGAGAAUUUAGCGAUUGACGAGAUAAUACGAUCUAUUUAUUACGGCGGCUUCGGACCGCGGAGUAAACGUGAAUCGGGCGCCUCCCUGGUUUCCUGGCUUUUUAUAUAUAUACCUAUAGUAUUUUAUUCUUGUUGAUCUUGUAGAGGUGCGCAGCGGGUUUGUUAUUCAUUUUGAACAUCGAGGAUCAUAAAAAGCUUCGAAAUAGACUGUUCUUAUACGAUUGAUUGUCUCUGUUUCUCUCUGGCCCGGGCCACAUUCACUCCACGGUCGCAACGUUCGCACGAUUACAAAGCUAUAUUAUAAAUAUUAUAUGAAAUAUAUUAUAUAUAAAUAUA
This is an RNA transcript of Megalopta genalis, 4243 nucleotides long. RefSeq lists it as uncharacterized. The record is from RefSeq and is a predicted model, not a curated record. NCBI's taxonomy places the organism in Eukaryota, Metazoa, Arthropoda, Insecta, Hymenoptera, Halictidae.